AGUGAACGCUGGCGGUAGGCCUAACACAUGCAAGUCGAACGGCAGCACAGUAAGAGCUUGCUCUUACGGGUGGCGAGUGGCGGACGGGUGAGGAAUACAUCGGAAUCUACUUUUUCGUGGGGGAUAACGUAGGGAAACUUACGCUAAUACCGCAUACGACCUACGGGUGAAAGCAGGGGAUCUUCGGACCUUGCGCGAUUGAAUGAGCCGAUGUCGGAUUAGCUAGUUGGCGGGGUAAAGGCCCACCAAGGCGACGAUCCGUAGCUGGUCUGAGAGGAGGAUCAGCCACACUGGAACUGGACCACGGUCCAGACUCCUACGGGAGGCAGCAGUGGGGAAUAUUGGACAAUGGGGGCAAGCCUGAUCCAGCCAUCCCGCGUGGGUGAAGAAGACCUUCGGGUUGUAAAGCCCUUUUGUUGGGAAAGAAAAGCAGCAGGUUAAUACCCCGCUGUUCUGACGGUACCCAAAGAAUAAGCACCGGCUAACUUCGUG
Molecule: ribosomal RNA, 492 nt
Filed under: uncultured bacterium
Lineage: Bacteria
Description: partial 16S ribosomal RNA
Rfam family: Bacterial small subunit ribosomal RNA
Source: RNAcentral